GAUGAACGCUGGCGGCGUGCCUAAUACAUGCAAGUCGAGCGAACAGACGAGGAGCUUGUUCCUCUGACGUUUGCGGCGGACGUGUGAGUAACACGUGGAUAAUCUACCUAUAAGACUGGUAUAACUUCGGGAAACCGGCGCUAAUCCCGGAUAAUAUAUUGAACCGUAUGGUUCAAUAGUGAAAGACGGUUUUGCUGUCACUUAUAGAUGGAUCCGCGCCGCAUUAGCUAGUUGGUAAGGUAACGGCUUACCAAGGCAACGAUGCGUAGCCGACCUGAGAGGGUGAUCGGCCACACUGGAACUGAGACACGGUCCAGACUCCUACGGGAGGCAGCAGUAGGGAAUCUUCCGCAAUGGGCGAAAGCCUGACGGAGCAACGCCGCGUGAGUGAUGAAGGUCUUCGGAUCGUAAAACUCUGUUAUUAGGGAAGAACAAAUGUGUAAGUAACUAUGCACGUCUUGACGGUACCUAAUCAGAAAGCCACGGCUAACUACGUG
RNAcentral lists this ribosomal RNA (497 nucleotides) under uncultured bacterium. RNAcentral describes it as "partial 16S ribosomal RNA". It matches the Rfam family "Bacterial small subunit ribosomal RNA", at positions 28 to 507 of the family's 1533-position model. The record is from RNAcentral.